Long non-coding RNA from Numida meleagris (helmeted guineafowl), 9133 nucleotides. RefSeq lists it as uncharacterized. The record is from RefSeq and is a predicted model, not a curated record. The transcript is spliced from 6 exons. NCBI's taxonomy places the organism in Eukaryota, Metazoa, Chordata, Aves, Galliformes, Numididae.
CAAGGAAAUAGGAUGGGAGGGUGUAGGCGCGUAGCGGCUCGUGUGGGGGCGAUCACGGGCGCACGCGCACAGUUGGGAGUGGUGGCGCGGGGCCGUUGGAGGCGGGCGGGGCUGCGGUCUGUGGGGAGCCGGGUGUUCGCGGCCCGGGGGUUUGCUGAGCCUGCUAGGGCGGGAGCCUAAGUGGGGCUGCGCGCUUUGCUGGGCCGUGCUCGGCUCUUUGCUCCUGGGUUUCUUUCUGAAACUCCACGUCCUCCUUCCCAAACCGUGAGAAACCAGGGUGGUAACAGACGCGAUCCUGCUCUCCGGCGCUGGCCUGGCCUGCCUUGCCCUGGCCUGCAGCCGAGGGGCGGCCUGGCAGGGCUGCCUGCAGCUGGAGCAGUGUCCCCAAAAUCACCAGUGCCACCCAGGCAGACAGCCCAGGUCCGGCAGGCAGCGCCGUGCUGCUCACCCGUCUCAGCAUUUGGCAGCACCAAGCGUGAGUGUCUGCUGGCUGCUCAAGUGCUGGUCUGAGCUAGGCGGUGUUUAGUGCCAAACAACGCAGAGCGGUUUUGGUAUUUGGUCCUGCUAAUACUCGCUGCUCUCUUGAAAUACACAUAAAAGCAUUUUCUGAUAAGACUGUGGUGUUGAAAAGGUCAGCAAACCUGCUGAUGUUGAGCAGCCUUAACCACUGCGGGCACACCUGUGAGCUAUAACGCAUGUUACUGCAAUUAGCUACAGCUCUGCAUCUUGAAACAAGAAAUCCAGUCUGUGUCUGCAGCAACAAAGCAACAGAGGAUGCAUGUGGUGACCACACCUCUCCAAAGGCAACGCUGGGAAUAAUUUUGCUCAAAUAGGCUUGCUCAGUUAUGUUUAUCCCAAAAAGAGACAGAGGAGAGUCUUUAGCUUUCUUUACUCUAAUAAAGUGAGAGUCUGCUGGGGGCAUUUCCCCGUAGGGUGUCUCAAAUUAUCGGAGGGCGCAGCGUCCUUUUCAUCCCCAUCUCCUGGCUGUAUGGUCCCUCUUAUGUUCCUCAUUGGCUGAACUCCUCGGAGGUUGCAGACUUCCCAAUCCAUCUAAUACAUGUUUCCCAUAUAUGUAACCCCCCUUCGUAUCAUGCGUUGCGUAUGUAAUUAAGUCCAAAUUUAUGCUGCUCAGGGCAGAUAACUUAAUAUUAAUUAGACUAUUAAGCCUGCACAGUAAAGCCAAAGUUCAUAAGUUGUUGAUAAACCUUUGUAACUGAAGCCUUAUUUGGUGAGGGUUUACAAAGUAAAUACAGACAUCAAGCGGAGAGGAAUGUGCAAGUCUCUGCACAACUUGUCUGCAAGGACACCUUGUUCACAAGCCGCUUUUAUCUCUGCAGUGAUGUAGCAAAAGAGGAAAAUGUUUGUGGUAGCCUAAGCAGGAACAAGACUAGGGAGACUGUUUUACUUCUAUAAAACAUUUUGUUCAUAGCUAAUACUGAAAUCAUAUGUACAAUUCUAGAAUCUGGAGCUCUCUGUGAUCUGCAGAGAUCUAAAAAGAUCAAUCAGCAUUGUUGAAUGGCUGGAGAAAGUGCCUUUCUCUCACUGAAAGGUGAAAUACCCAAUCUGGUGUCUGUUAAAGGUAGACCGGGAGGGACUUGAUUACAAUAUGUAAAUAAUUUGACAGGAACACCAUAUGAAGUACUCAAAACAUAAAAGCAUCAAGGGGCCCAGCUGAUUGACAGCUAAAGGUACACAGAAUAAUGUUAGAAAAUUCAGUAAAUAAAGAUGAUUUACUGGAAACUAACCACAAUGGCAAGAAAGAGGGGAUAUUUUUUUCUCUUGUUUUCUUCAGAUCAGGAUAAUGCCUGUUCAGAAGCUCUUUCACCACAUGGUGUCAUUUAAGCGCGUGCUUCUACAUAUAGGAAAACAACCCAGGACUUGAAACCACCAAUCUUUAACUCUUAUGAAUCAGAGAUUUCAGUUAAUUGUAUCCUUAAAAUGGACUUGUCUUCACCUUGGACUACAGAUAUUUUUCUGUGCUUGACAAAGAUCCUUUAUUUUGUACAGAGGAGAAAUGCAAUAUAAUACAGACUUCUUACUAUCUUACAGAUUGCAGUUCUCAAACAGUAUGUUUUACAGUUCAUGAAAUGGCCAGUGUUUGGAGAGUUAUCUAUUAGCUCUCUUUAAACCAAUGUAUAUCCAGUUGCCAAGAUUUUGUUCUUUCUGUAUUUGUUAAGGGAUCAAAGGAAGUUCAUAAAGGAAGGCAUAUUUGAGCAGCAGAACUUCUUCUCUUCACAAAUCCUUAGGUUUUAUGAGCUGUGCAUAUGCUGCAGUGUGCUGGGAGGUAAUGUUGUCGUCCACCAGCUGAUGUAUGGACGUGCUUUUGGGCUGUCUCUGGCGGUUGUUGUCCAAUAGGUGGUGCUGCUGCUGCACAAACACGGCAUCACGAGCCCUAGUAACUAGCAUCGCAGGAAACUUUUGUCAGACAAAAAAUACACCUCUUUUGACAUUACUUUUGUACUUGGAACUAAUGGCAGUAUAUAGCUGAACUUAUUUUCGAAGAUAUCCGGGGCUAUCCAGUCUUUUGAUGUGUGCAUGACUUAUGUUGUAUAAACAGUCUGAAAUCAGCACUGUUCUGCAUUCCCUAAUGUUAAGUCCUGAAGCAGUAAAGAGGCAAAUAUGAGGUGAGAGCUGAGCCCUCAGCAGCCAGUAACGCAACAGAGACAGUUAUACCAAAGGCUUAAUGUCCUUGCUGUUCAACUUCAUAUGGACAGAUUGCUGUGCCCAGCACAGGGACCUUGUCACUAGCAAAAACGCGGCUUUUGCAAACAAAACAGCCUGUCUUCAUCACAGAAAGUGCAAUCCAAAUGUAGGCCCAAAUAGAGAUGCUGGAAGUUCUUACACUUUCCUGGUAGGCUGCCUGGCAGGUAUGUCCUGGUUGCAGGGCGCUAUGUCCACCUUGAAAGUUGGCGGUCUCUUCCUUGCGAUCAAACUGCCGAGUAUCUCUUGAUGCUUCAAUUAUGAGCAUUGUUUUCCUGAAGAUGUUUUUGUUUUCCUUUUAGUUGAACUGUGCCUCUGAGUAAAGCUUGGUUUUUGUUGUUGUUAUUGGUUAUUCUGUUUUGCUUUUUGUUUGUGUAGCUGUUUGUUACUGUGGGCCGAGCUAUCCACUUUGUCCGUAGAUGCAGUUAUGUGACAUUUGCUAUUACAGGGCAUUGUUUUUGUUGCUCCUGCAAAAUUUGGGCUGAAUUUUUUUUCUGCUCACUCUUUGGUUCUGGCAAGACUUUUGAAACCUUCAGCAGCUUCAAGUUGCAAAACUAAAUUACAGAAAAAAAUGCUGGUGGGCUGGGCGUGUGAUUACAGGUGAACAGGUAUUUCACUGAGACGUUCCAGUCCCUCUUCAUUCUAAAUGGUGGACUUGAAAUUUCAUACAGAAAUUCUUCUUGUUUUAAGGAUGGUUUGGUUCUUGUUGGUUUGUUUGUUUGUUUGUUUUUGCCGUUACACUCUCCUGAAACUUGGCCUAAUUAUUGGUUUUGGAAAUACCUGUUCUUACAGGAGUUUGUGAAGUGAAUUAGGUAAACAUCCACAGCUCUAAACAUAAUUAAACUUUCUAUAACCCCGGUAGCUGACCUGAGGUAUGGUGCUAAGCAGAGAAAUUGAGAGUUCUAACAUGUUCUGUACUCUGAAUGAUUACAGUAAUUAUGCCCCAUCAGUGAAAAGGCCCAGUGACUCAAAGUGAGGGGGAGAGGUGAAUCAGAAUUGAAUGAGGAUUAAGAGACAGGGCGGAGCAUCAUGGAGAUAAGAAAAGGUCAGAAUUAGGGAGAACUGACAGCAAGCCUGCAUACAUUAGGGCAUCAUCUGCUCCAGAAGAGUCUGAGGUUCUGGGAUUUCUGUUCACCUGCUGUUGACAGUUUUGUGAAAGUCAAAAUGGUGGCUCCUGUAGGAAAUCACAACCUGCCAGUGUACAGCUGGUCUGUUUGAUGGGUCUGCGUCAGGCCUACACAACAGGCAGAUUGUCAGGUGGUUUUUCAGCUCAACGUGUGCCUCCAGUAUGGAGGAAUAUGCCAAGUUAAGGUGUGACUUCUCUCUGCGAGGCACUCUACCAUCUGCAUCGGUGAGCGUGUCAGCGCUGGCUGCCUGGGGACAUCAGCAGGCUGCUAGAGAUGCUGGUUCUGCAGCUCAGGGUGCUGGGAAGGCUGCGGCCAAGAUUACCUCUGUUCACACGAGGUUUGGAUGACAGUAAAGCUGAGAAGAUGAUGGGAGGUUGGAAAUAGGGAGCAAGGGCCAGCGCAGUGGGUAGAAGAGCCUGGGAGGAUUAGAGGAGCCUGAAGCAGUGAGCCAGCAGCGUGGGAGGGUUGGGAAGCAGGAACUCGAGGUUAACAUGGGAACAGCGUAGGGGUACUUUGUGUUUAUGUGUGGGGAGAGACCUGGGAAGCAUGGAACAAGGAGUGCUGCUGUGAUGAAUGGAGGGGCUGGUGUGGGGGGAGGAGACAAAAGCCUGGCAGCAGCAGCAGCAGCGCUCUGCCCGCGGGAGCUCCGCUGUGUGCCAGCAGCCACUGCUUUGCGCUGGCAUCUGUCACUGGUGCCCCCACAGCUGCUUCUGUGCUGCUGCCCUCAGCCCUGGAUACAACCCACCCCUGCUGGUGCCAGCAGUGCAAUGGGCUCCUUGGGUGACUGUUUUCAUUUUAUCACCCGCUUUGCUUUUUGUCUUUUAUUGAUGCAAGCAAACACGUUAUGUUGUGAGAAUUAGUAUGAAGGCAAGCACCUGAAAUCACAGCAUGAUCUCGCCUACGUGUCCUUAGUUUGACCACUUCUCCUUGUGUGUUAGGCUACGGUCUUUAAUUACAUUGUCAAAUGUCUUCUUCCUCUUUAUCUCUGUUCCGUUCAGUACACAGGAUUUACAGUAAUCAAGGAGGUGUAGAUAAAAUCAUAAAGAAUAUUGUAGUUUUUAAGUUCUGCUUCUCUUUUUGUUGUAUUUUAAAGGAAAGGAAGAUGAAAGAAGAGAAAAUGAGGUUUGCAAGAGGGCAACAGAGCAUCGCUAUAGAGAUGUGAAUUUAGUUUCCUGUGUAGGAUUAUCUACACUGCGUGAAUAAUGUGGACUCAUGUAUAGAAGAAAGAAAGCUUAGAGUGUAAACUUAGAGCAAGUUGCCCUGUGGGACAUCGAAAACUUACCGAAGGAGCUCAGAUUUGGCUGGAGGUACUUCUGCUGCCAGGGGGGCAUGAUUGGAUUGCCUUUGGGAACUCUGUACCUUCCUGGUUUUGAAGAAUCAUAACAUCUUGACCUGCAACAGUUACCAUUCCUAAUCAGCAUUCCUUAAGCCGUAUUGGGUAGCUGUUUUGGGUCGUCAAAUAUAGAAUGAAGUAUUUUGAGAAGAGAUAAUUUAUUUGUAAAGAGAGUACUAUUUAUUUGAUGUCUCUUCUAAAGUUUAUGAGAUCAGAACGUUAAUUAGUCCCUCAGACACCUUUGGUUAUUUGUAUCUCUAUUUCUCUGCCCCCCAGUAGAAUAAGGGAUAAUAAAGUUGCAUUAUGUUAUGGAAAUUAAUAUUUAAAGAAUGCUGAGAUGUAGUACUGAUGACUAUCAAUGAAAGGCAGUAAGAAAAGGAAGAACUCUCUUUAAAAUAGAAUUUGAGGAGUCCUUGGCAAAGACUUUAUCUGAAAGAAGAGGUGGAAAUGUUGAAGUUAUUCUGGCAAGUUCUGCUGACAUUGAAACAGGUUGUGAGCAGAAUGAAAGACUAUUGAAGUCUACUUUAUCAUGCCAUGUUUUACUUCCAUGCUGUGAACCUUGCCCACAGUCAACAUUUCUAGUGGUGAACUAUGCUAAGGUUAUUUUUGCUAUUUACUUGGCACAUGAACCUCUAAAGAAACAUCAGCUAUUCUAAAGUAGCUGCAGAAUUUGUGUGGACCCACAUACUUUCUUCACCAACAUAAACAUGUAUAGUCUGUGUAAAAUGCAAAAUAUGCACAUCCCUGUUCCAAACUCUUUCGUCAUUCCUUUUACUGACAGACUUUGAGACACGUUCUCCUAAGUGAGAGAAUUUCUGAAGUAUGCAUAUAGCGGUGAGAUGUGGCAACAACCCAUCUUGUUGCAAGAAUGAACUUGUUAAAUAUUCCCUUCCACAAGUAGCGUUAGUCACUACUUGAGCCGCAAGACUGCUUUCAUGUGGUUUAACAUCCUGUUCUUGGUAAUGUUGUCUUGUCUUACACCUGAUGCAGUGCUUAGGGAAGCUGAAAUUCCUGCAGAUGUUUCCUCUGAAAAUGAAACUGAAAUUUCCCUUACAGUAAUUGUUGUGCAUGUCACUGCAGCUGUCUCCAAACAAAGUCAUUUUGGAUUCUUGGCAAGCGAAUAUCAUUAUUUAGAGGCUAAUAAUAAAAGGAGGGUAUCUCACUUGAGCAGUUAGAACUCUCUUUGUCAAUAUUUCCAGUUAUACGUCACUUGAAGGGGAAAAGCAUGUGGAGCUACUUGUUGAUAUUUCUUUACAUUCUAACUUUCAUAUUAAAAUGUUGCAAUAUCUAUGUUGAAAUGACGGGGAAACCAAGAGGGCAGGUUAUCGGGAACAUACUAAGAUAUAGCAGCGCUGCAAGCCUACCUAAAUGAUUCUUGUUUACACAAAGGUAUCAACACAUCUAGGCACUGGGAUAAUUGUUAUUCAUUGUGUAUUGAGCAAAAGCAUGGGAACUUUUUGUUUGGUUGCUUUUUAAAAAUUUUACUUUCAAGGUUUGCUCUCACAGGUGCUAUUGACACUCUUUACUUACAAAGGAAAAAAUGUGGAAUUGAUUUGUUAUGCAGUUUCAUACGCUGUAUUUUUUUCACAAAGAUUUGGAUUCCCUGUGCUAUGCUUCCUUUGAGAGAGAACUCAGUUCUCCAGUGUGGUUAUAGAUCCAAAGUCUUUCCAAAGCUUCAGGGCUGCAGAAGAAUUUUCAUCUUGGCUUGGUACUUCGUUAAUUUAAGAAUGGGUGAUGGAUUCUAAGGAGGUCAUCUGCAGUGGGGAUGUUUGUCCUCUUCUUGGUCAAGCCUACUGGCAUGAUUUGGUGAGAGCGUAAAAUCCAUUGUUUUAUGGCAGUGGACCCUGAACUGUUGCCAGCAGAGAGAGCGUAAAAUGAAAAGCAGAUGUUGUCAUUGGGAACAAGAUAAUAAUAAUUAUGGUCAGUGACCAUUACAAUGGGCAUUAUCCCUUGUAAUAAAUUUUCUUCUUGUAUUAAUGGGAUUUUUUUUCCAAGGAAAAUAAUUCUUGAAUUGACAGAGGAGAUGGUUGUAUCCAACAGUGGGCAAAGUGCUGUCACAAAUUCAAACACGUUGCCAGUGGAGGAAAUCUGAGUUUGUUUCUGCAGAAGUUCCCAGCAUCUCUGCUACCACCCUUAGCAUGCCAUGCUAAUGGAGUUCCUUCUUCCUUCUGAGAAGUCCCUGCCAAGAUGGGGCUCCAGCUGGAUCCGUUUUGGAAGACAGUACUUAUAAGCCUCAGUGUCCUGCCAUGAGUCUGCCUGCCAUGAUGACAUCUUGCUUGUUUAUUCUUCUGCCUCUACCUCUCAACAGCAGUUUCUGCAUCCACAGUAUUCCUCUUUCCAGCCGUGGUUUGUUACAAGACAGGGGAAGGAGAUAGCAGUUUGCGGCGCAAAACUGAAAUUGCCUGAGAGGGAACAUGAGCCUUAAUGGGUGCAGCAGUAACAUCCGAAGUGCCAGAUCAGGGGCGCUGCUUUUACAGCUCUGCCUGAGAUAAGGGUAUGUAAAAUGGAGAUUAAUUCUUUGAGGUAUGUCCUGCUUCAGCUGUGAAUGUAGCCCGUGCUUCCUAAUGAUGGAUCUGAUUUGGCACAUGAAUGUGGCACUGAGUGACAGCUCUGUACCAAACUGCCCAGAUGGUGAGCUCUUGUAAAGCUUUACUCUCUCAUUCCCCACAAACCUAGUUAUUAGGUUAUUUUGUGUGUGAGGAUCCUGCACGAGAGCAUGUGCUGACUGACAGCGAGGCGAGGGGCAGAAGUUCCAUGACUGGAAGAAAAAGACACUGAAUCUUACUGUUGUUCUCACAUAUCUGCCAGAGGUCUCUGUCAAACACAGGAUCCCUGUGUAGCUGACCUUGGUCUGUUGUGACUGAAGCAGAGGCGCUGGCAUGAAGAAGUACGUCACAUCGUGAGAAGGAGAAAGGGAGAGAGGAGCGAGGUGGCAGAGUGCUGAGGAUGGGCCAUGCGUAAAUGAUGCUAACAAUUGUCCCAUCAGAACUGGGAUAAUGCAUGGCAGAUGAAGAACAGUGAUUUUAUUGAACUCUCCACACAGAUUCUCACCCUGUGGGAAGUCUAAGGGGGAGAGAGUUGGUCAGAGUGCAAAAUUAAGGUGACAUUAUAAAGCCUCCUCAUGAAAUGCUUCAGUGACAGUCACGUCUCAAAACUCCAUGUGAACUGACAGCCACUGGAGGGUGGGGAGUAUGUGGAGGUUUGACUUGUGGAUAAAUCAUGAAGAGAAAAAUAAAACUUUUCCCAGAGGGAGAGCUGCCACGUAUGCUUGCAAAGAAAGUUAUUUGCUUGCUCCCUGCAGUGUUUUUUUGUAAUCACUUAAAAAUGUGGUUUUUUCCAGUUCUUUUUAAGUAAGAAAUCUUGUUUGAUUACUAACACGUACCUGAUGCAAAAGAACAGAAAGGCUUGCUUUAAACAUGCCAUAUUAACAUUUCCUGCUGCUACUCAUAUCCUCUUCCCCCUAUGUAACUCUAAUAUCCCAUGAGUCUAAUACUGAGGCAUUAGCUUAACUGCUGUGCAGUUAACAAAAUAGUGACUUGAGGAAAGUACUGACAUGCAGAGAGAAUAGAGGGAUGUUCAUUCACUUCUGCUCCAACUCCUACAUCUGCUGCUAUGACUAUGGGGAGGAAACCAUAUAUGAUGGGAAGAGAGAGCAUAGGAGCUGUAGGUAUUUGAGGGCAUGGCAGGGAAGGCAAGGAAGAAAUCAUAUGAAGAGCUGAUGUCAGUGGUAUGCAGAUGACAUGGAUGCUUCUUCAGAGAUGACCACCAUAAAAUGCAGUGCUUGUUCCAUUGAAGAGUGGAGACAGCAUCAUCCAAGUUGCUUGAGUAGCUGUUCUUAAACAAUAUACUUGAAAUUUGAACACUGAUAGCUAGGAAUAAAAGAGAAAAAAAACCUCUUGACCGUGACAUACAGAAGAAAAGGAACUGAAAUCACUGAAUACGGUACUAAUACAUUAUUUGUGGAAUCUUAGAA